AUUUCGUAUUCUGUUUAGUUUAAGUAAAUUUAUGAUUGAGUUGAUGUUUUAUAAAAAGAAUUUUGUUAAAUAUUGUUUAGAUUAUUAAUUGAACUUUAAAUAGUGUUUAAAUAACAAAUGUUUAUUUUUUUUAUUAAUAUGUAAAUUUUUUCUUGUAUAAAAUGAUUCGCUGAAGGUAGCGCUUUUGCUCUCUCGCCUUGGUGUCAACGGCUGUCGGUGACUGGUGUGGUUUUUAUGGUAACUGUUUGGAUGUUGUUAUUAUUGUACUGUUGUGGAAUAUUUAAUUUUAAAAGUUUAAAGGAUACGACAGUGCUUACGAAUAGUGGACAGGUGAGAGGAUUAACAGUAUUGUCUGGUAACAAAGUUUUGUUUAUAAUAAUAAAUUUAUUUGAAUUAUGGAUUUUUGGUUGGAUUCUUUUUUGCGUUGGUUUGAAGUUAACGAAAUCACUAUACGUAUAAGCUCGAAGAGGAAGUCCGAGGAUACGGAGGGGCGGGGCCGAACGAAUACUGAAAAUCCGGCGGGAGCCCGGAUUUUUUCAGUCUAUCUAUUUGCACAUUUAGUUUCAUACAAAAGUGGAUCUUCCAUAUGGGGUAUAAUCUUACUUUAUGAUCAUUUUUCAUCUUAGACUUUUAGGAAUUGAAAGUUACCAUUUAUCUUGCCUUCCUAGAUGAAGGAUUGAAUCUGGAGACUGAAAACUUUCUACCAGGUUUGUUUUAAUUUUCUUAGCCAUAUUAGACCUUUCAGAUAUUAAUAAACUGUUGCCAAAUAUGCCAUACUAGCAACUGAUAUAUACAUUCUUAAAAUUUAAUUAAAUUAACCAGACACUGAAAUGUUGAAGCACUGAAAUGAGGUGGCCCACAGAAAAGGAUGGCAUGGAAUAUGUUUUGCCAUUACAUCAUAGAGUGGAACAUAAUUGCCUUCAAAUAUGUAAAGGCAGAGUAUUGAAAGAUUAGGCAAC
This 959-nucleotide long non-coding RNA is filed under the name Androctonus crassicauda. Lineage: Eukaryota; Metazoa; Arthropoda; Arachnida; Scorpiones; Buthidae. The record is from RNAcentral.